GUAGGUGGGCAAGCGUUGUCCGGAAUUAUUGGGCGUAAAGCGCGCGCAGGUGGGUCUUUAAGUCUGAUGUGAAAGCCCCCGGGCUCAACCGGGGAGGGUCAUUGGAAACUGGGGAACUUGAGUGCAGGAGAGGAAAGUGGAAUUCCACGUGUAGCGGUGAAAUGCGUAGAUAUGUGGAGGAACACCAGUGGCGAAGGCGACUUUCUGGCCUGUAACUGACACUGAGGCGCGAAAGCGUGGGGAGCAAACAGGAUUAGAUACCCUGGUCGUCCACGCCGUAAACGAUGAGUGCUAAGUGUUGGGGGGGUUUCCGCCCCUCAGUGCUGCAGCUAACGCAUUAAGCACUCCGCCUGGGGAGUACGGUCGCAAGACUG
Molecule: ribosomal RNA, 374 nt
Filed under: uncultured organism
Description: partial 16S ribosomal RNA
Rfam family: Bacterial small subunit ribosomal RNA
Source: RNAcentral